RNAcentral lists this ribosomal RNA (497 nucleotides) under uncultured bacterium. RNAcentral's name for it is "partial 16S ribosomal RNA". It matches the Rfam family "Bacterial small subunit ribosomal RNA", at positions 28 to 507 of the family's 1533-position model. The record is from RNAcentral.
GAUGAACGCUGGCGGCGUGCCUAAUACAUGCAAGUCGAGCGAACGGACGAGAAGCUUGCUUCUCUGAUGUUAGCGGCGGACGGGUGAGUAACACGUGGAUAACCUACCUAUAAGACUGGGAUAACUUCGGGAAACCGGAGCUAAUACCGGAUAAUAUUUUGAACCGCAUGGUUCAAAAGUGAAAGACGGUCUUGCUGUCACUUAUAGAUGGAUCCGCGCCGCAUUAGCUAGUUGGUAAGGUAACGGCUUACCAAGGCAACGAUGCAUAGCCGACCUGAGAGGGUGGUCGGCGAGACGGGAACGGAGACACGGUCCAGACUCCUACGGGAGGCAGCAGUAGGGAAUCUUCCGCAAUGGGCGAAAGCCUGAUGGAGCAAAGCCGCGGGAGUGAUGAAGGUCUUCGGAUCGUAAAACUCGGUUAGGAGGGAAGAACAAAUGUGUAAGUAACUAUGCACGUCUGGACGGUACCUAAUCAGAAAGCCACGGCUAACUACGUG